RNAcentral lists this ribosomal RNA (806 nucleotides) under uncultured Thiobacillus sp. Its description in RNAcentral is "bacterial SSU rRNA". It matches the Rfam family "Bacterial small subunit ribosomal RNA", at positions 28 to 827 of the family's 1533-position model. Lineage: Bacteria; Pseudomonadati; Pseudomonadota; Betaproteobacteria; Nitrosomonadales; Thiobacillaceae. The record is from RNAcentral.
AUUGAACGCUGGCGGAAUGCUUUACACAUGCAAGUCGAACGGCAGCACGGGAGCUUGCUCCUGGUGGCGAGUGGCGAACGGGUGAGUAAUGCGUCGGAACGUACCGAGUAAUGGGGGAUAACGCAGCGAAAGCUGUGCUAAUACCGCAUACGCCCUGAGGGGGAAAGUGGGGGAUCGCAAGACCUCACGUUAUUCGAGCGGCCGACGUCUGAUUAGCUAGUUGGUGGGGUAAUGGCCUAUCAAGGCGACGAUCAGUAUCGGGUCUGAGAGGAUGAUCCGCCACACUGGAACUGAGACACGGUCCAGACUCCUACGGGAGGCAGCAGUGGGGAAUUUUGGACAAUGGGGGCAACCCUGAUCCAGCCAUUCCGCGUGAGUGAAGAAGGCCUUCGGGUUGUAAAGCUCUUUCAGCUGGAACGAAACGGUACGCUCUAACAUAGCGUGCUAAUGACGGUACCGGCAGAAGAAGCACCGGCUAACUACGUGCCAGCAGCCGCGGUAAUACGUAGGGUGCGAGCGUUAAUCGGAAUUACUGGGCGUAAAGCGUGCGCAGGCGGAUUGUUAAGCAAGAUGUGAAAUCCCCGGGCUUAACCUCGGAAUGGCAUUUUGAACUGGCAGUCUAGAGUGCGUCAGAGGGGGGUGGAAUUCCACGUGUAGCAGUGAAAUGCGUAGAGAUGUGGAGGAACACCAAUGGCGAAGGCAGCCCCCUGGGAUGACACUGACGCUCAUGUACGAAAGCGUGGGUAGCAAACAGGAUUAGAUACCCUGGUAGUCCACGCCCUAAACGAUGUCAACUGGUUGUUGGG